This 462-nucleotide ribosomal RNA is filed under the name uncultured Latescibacterota bacterium. RNAcentral's name for it is "bacterial SSU rRNA". It matches the Rfam family "Bacterial small subunit ribosomal RNA", at positions 925 to 1382 of the family's 1533-position model. The record is from RNAcentral. Lineage: Bacteria; Pseudomonadati; Candidatus Latescibacterota.
ACAAGCGGUGGAGCAUGUGGUUUAAUUCGAAGCAACGCGAAGAACCUUACCAGGUCUUGACAUCCCCUGACAACCAAGAGAGUUGGGCCGUUCCCCGUUCGGGGGACAGGGUGACAGGUGGUGCAUGGUUGUCGUCAGCUCGUGUCGUGAGAUGUUGGGUUAAGUCCCGCAACGAGCGCAACCCUUAUCCCUAGUUGCCAUCAGGUAAAGCUGGGAACUCUGGGGAGACUGCCGGUGAUAAACCGGAGGAAGGCGGGGAUGACGUCAAGUCCUCAUGGCCCUUACAUCCCGGGCUACACACGUGCUACAAUGGCAGGUACAGAGGGCUGCGAAGCCGCGAGGUGGAGCGAAUCCCAGAAAACCUGUCUCAGUCCGGAUUGAAGUCUGCAACUCGACUUCAUGAAGGCGGAAUCGCUAGUAACCGCGAAUCAGCAGGUCGCGGUGAAUACGUUCCCGGGCCUU